UAAACCUUAAAAGCUCAGAAGAGAAAAUAGUAAAAAGAAAGAAAAAUUUUAAAGAAAAGAGAAACUUUUGAUUAUAGUUUUUCCAUGGAUUAGAAGUUCAUUGGAAACUCGUUGCCAACAAUGGACACAAAGAAAAUGUUAAAGUGCGGGUCCCACCACCAUCGUUCUCACUCCGACAAUUGUUUUCGCUUCAUCACAAACAUUCCCCCCUUCAACACUUCUAAUCUUGUCAACUCCAACUUCCCUUUGUCACUCUCAUUUCCAUCUUUGGACACUAAUGACAUCAUUCCUAUGGUUAUUGAUUUGAACAAGUCUAAUAAGCGGAAGAGGUUCACAGGAAUUCCCCAUGCCAAGCACCUUCGAAGCUUGUCGGUGGACUCUAACUUUUUCUACAAUUUUGGGUUCACUAAUGGUGAAAAUGAGAGAAUCAUUGGGAAAAGUGGCAGUGAGCAAAGGAUGGAGCACCAACGACAUAACUCAACGGGUGAACCCUCGACUAAGUUGUUUAAGGUAGACUCAGGAAUGGAGAUGAUGGAUUGUAAGAGGAAAGAUCUGAUCCUUGACAAACUCCCUGAAUUAGCUCUUGUUGAUCCAAAGAAAGCUAGAUCUAACAGUCGAGGAAUAUUCGUUAUGCAACUAUGUUGAAGAGGAAGAUUCUUUACACAACUAUGUUGAAGAGGAAGAUUCGUUAUGCAACUAAGUUGAAGAGGGAGAUGCAAUCUCUUAGAACUCAAGAAACUAUCCUCUCUACCCAAAUUACCAUGCUUAACAGAGAAUAUGCAAAUUUGUUUGUCGAGCACCAAUUGUAUUCAGAAGCUUUGGACCAACAAGAUCAACUUAAUGAAGAACUCAUGAAUUUAUUCAUGGAAGAACAUCAACGCCUUAGGGCACGAAGUACUCCUUUAGUGCUAUUUCUGGUAACCAUUAUUUGGGCUACCUAUUUAGCCUUGCAACGAUUGACUAAUUCUGCACUCCAAUAGGCACAACACCAGCUACAAGUUGGCAUGCCUCCUCUUCUAGGAAGAAUCUUUGUGACUUCAUGGGCUUCGAUAGUAGAAAUAGCCAAUAAUAGCAACGAUAUAUGAUUCUUUACAUGUGAUACUCAUCAUAAAGAAACUAUUGUUCAUAUAUAUAUAUAUUCGUAAUAGGUGAUACUUAUGAAGGCUAUAUUAUGCAAUUUAGUGUUUUUUUUUGUUUUGUUUUGUUUAUCUUUUCUUGGUUUAGGAUUGAAUCAUACCCUAUUAUUUUUACUUUCCGUAGUUCUAUGUUGUACUUUUUUGAAAUAUAUUUUGUAGCUCUUGGAUGAAUGGUGUUACAUAUAGAAAGACUAGUUUAUGAUAAUGGUGAAUGAAGAUCAUUAGUUAGCAUUUUUGGAAUUAAAUAUUAGGUGAUAUAAGUUAAAUCUUGGAGCAUAAAACAUCUUCUCAAUAUGCCUUAGUUUC
Cajanus cajan (pigeon pea) is the source of this 1442-nucleotide non-coding RNA. NCBI's taxonomy places the organism in Eukaryota, Viridiplantae, Streptophyta, Magnoliopsida, Fabales, Fabaceae. The record is from RefSeq and is a predicted model, not a curated record.